RNAcentral lists this unclassified non-coding RNA (329 nucleotides) under soil metagenome. RNAcentral describes it as "partial contains 5.8S ribosomal RNA, internal transcribed spacer 2, and large subunit ribosomal RNA". The stretch from base 1 to 120 matches the Rfam family "5.8S ribosomal RNA", at positions 35 to 154 of the family's 154-position model. The record is from RNAcentral.
GAUGAAGAACGCAGCGAAAUGCGAUAAGUAAUGUGAAUUGCAGAAUUCAGUGAAUCAUCGAAUCUUUGAACGCACAUUGCGCCCCUUGGUAUUCCGAGGGGCAUGCCUGUUCGAGCGUCAUUAUAACCCCUCAAGCUCGGCUUGGUGUUGGGGCCUGCUGCACUGGCAGCCCUUAAAAUCAGUGGCGGCGCCAUCUGGCUCUAAGCGUAGUAAUUCUUCUCGCUAUGGAGUCCUGGUGGAUGCUUGCCAUCAACCCCCAAUUUUUCUAUGGUUGACCUCGGAUCAGGUAGGGAUACCCGCUGAACUUAAGCAUAUCAAUAAGCGGAGGA